Long non-coding RNA from Pipistrellus kuhlii (Kuhl's pipistrelle), 155 nucleotides. RefSeq lists it as uncharacterized. The transcript is spliced from 3 exons. Lineage: Eukaryota; Metazoa; Chordata; Mammalia; Chiroptera; Vespertilionidae. The record is from RefSeq and is a predicted model, not a curated record.
AUAUACACUAUGGAAGUCUACUCAGCCAUUAGAAAGGAUGAACUAGCGCCAUUUGCAACAACAUGAAUGGACCUUGAGAACAUUAUUCUAACUAAAAUGUCAGUCAGAAAAAGCUAAGAAGUAUAUGAUUUCACUCAUAUGUGGAUAUAAAACUG